RNAcentral lists this ribosomal RNA (312 nucleotides) under Enterococcus faecalis. Its description in RNAcentral is "bacterial SSU rRNA". It matches the Rfam family "Bacterial small subunit ribosomal RNA", at positions 1160 to 1475 of the family's 1533-position model. Lineage: Bacteria; Bacillati; Bacillota; Bacilli; Lactobacillales; Enterococcaceae. The record is from RNAcentral.
UUACUGGAGGAGGGUGGGGAUGACGUCAAAUCAUCAUGCCCCUUAUGACCUGGGCUACACACGUGCUAAAUGGGAAGUACUACGAGUCGCUAGACCGCGAGGUCAUGCAAAUCUCUUAAAGCUUCUGUCAGUUCGGAUGCAGGCUGCAACUCGCCUGCAUGGAAGCCGGAAUCGCUAGUAAUCGCGGAUCAGCACGCCGCGGUGAAUCGUUCCCGGGCCUUGUACACACCGCCCGUCACACCACGAGAGUUUGUAACACCCGAAGUCGGUGAGGUACCUUUUUGGAGCCAGCCGCCUGGUGGGAUAGAUGAU